Polistes dominula (European paper wasp) is the source of this 560-nucleotide long non-coding RNA. The record is from RefSeq and is a predicted model, not a curated record. Lineage: Eukaryota; Metazoa; Arthropoda; Insecta; Hymenoptera; Vespidae.
AUGUUUUUUUUAGUAUCGACACUUUCAAUUAAAAAAUGACAUGCAAUGUGUAUAAACAUUCAUUGAGUAUUUUUUUUUACAGUCCAAUCUUAUAGGAUGAUACAGUCCACUACUUCUUAUACAGUUAAUAUUUUAUAUUAAUUAAUAUCAUCAAUUGAAAACAUGCAUACUACACAUAUUGCAUAUUUGAUAGAUUUGCACCAUAAACAUUCUUAAACAAAAUGCAAUGAAGAGAUGAAAACAAUACAAUUAAUAUUUACCUCAACUUGUUCGUCUCCUUGGCAGGACAUGCUGGAUAACGAGUCGGAGACUUUGGCAAAACAUCGGCCGAAACAGGCCCCCAUGACCUGUCAAAUCACGGCGUCUUGCCGUCGGCGUCAUCUAACCGAUCUAUAAUGAAUAUUUAAAUGCCAGUCUUUAAUUCCACACGUUUACACGCCCGUAAAUUGACUGUUGUUAUUACAACGAGAGAGACAGCGCCCCGUUUAUUGUUGUGAAUGGUGGACGUCAAAUAAGACAGAUCAUUCUCAACCAUGUUUGAUGGUACCAUAUGAAUAAAA